UACGUAGGGCGCAAGCGUUGUCCGGAAUUAUUGGGCGUAAAGCGUGCGCAGGCGGUUUUGUAAGCCAGAUGUGAAAGCCCCGGGCUCAACCUGGGAAUGGCAUUUGGGACUGCAAGGCUUGAGUGCGGCAGAGGAGACUGGAAUUCCUGGUGUAGCAGUGAAAUGCGUAGAUAUCAGGAGGAAUACCGAUGGCGAAGGCAGGUCUCUGGGCUGACACUGACGCUCAUGCACGAAAGCGUGGGGAGCAAACAGG
RNAcentral lists this ribosomal RNA (253 nucleotides) under uncultured bacterium. Its description in RNAcentral is "partial 16S ribosomal RNA". It matches the Rfam family "Bacterial small subunit ribosomal RNA", at positions 524 to 776 of the family's 1533-position model. The record is from RNAcentral.